This is a long non-coding RNA of Rana temporaria (common frog), 168 nucleotides long. RefSeq lists it as uncharacterized. The record is from RefSeq and is a predicted model, not a curated record. The transcript has 3 exons. Lineage: Eukaryota; Metazoa; Chordata; Amphibia; Anura; Ranidae.
UGGACAAUCAGCCGCCCCUCACAUCACCGGAUGGAUCCAGUAAUGGGAACCCCCCAGAGAGAUGUCCCCGUCCUCUGUAUUCUCGGGAUUACACACAGGAAGAUCAUACCAUCCCCCACCAUCAUCAGAGUGGAAACCUCGGAGAUGAUAAUAUUGAUAUUAAAGAAG